AGCCCCUAGCGCAGACGGCGGAGAGCAGAGAGGGAGCGCGCCUUGGCUCGCUGGCCUUGGCGGCGGCUCCUCAGGAGAGCUGGGGCGCCCACGAGAGGAUCCCUCACCCGGGUCUCUCCUCAGGGAUGACAUCAUCCGUCCACCUCCUUGUCUUCAAGGACCACCUCCUCUCCAUGCUGAGCUGCUGCCAAGGGGCCUGCUGCCCAUCUACACCUCACGAGGGCACUAGGAGCACGGUUUCCUGGAUCCCACCAACAUACAAAGCAGCCACUCACUGACCCCCAGGACCAGGAUGGCAAAGGAUGAAGAGGACCGGAACUGACCAGCCAGCUGUCCCUCUUACCUAAAGACUUAAACCAAUGCCCUAGUGAGGGGGCAUUGGGCAUUAAGCCCUGACCUUUGCUAUGCUCAUACUUUGACUCUAUGAGUACUUUCCUAUAAGUCUUUGCUUGUGUUCACCUGCUAGCAAACUGGAGUGUUUCCCUCCCCAAGGGGGUGUCAGUCUUUGUCGACUGACUCUGUCAUCACCCUUAUGAUGUCCUGAAUGGAAGGAUCCCUUUGGGAAAUUCUCAGGAGGGGGACCUGGGCCAAGGGCUUGGCCAGCAUCCUGCUGGCAACUCCAAGGCCCUGGGUGGGCUUCUGGAAUGAGCAUGCUACUGAAUCACCAAAGGCACGCCCGACCUCUCUGAAGAUCUUCCUAUCCUUUUCUGGGGGAAUGGGGUCGAUGAGAGCAACCUCCUAGGGUUGUUGUGAGAAUUAAAUGAGAUAAAAGAGGCCUCAGGCAGGAUCUGGCAUAGAGGAGGUGAUCAGCAAAUGUUUGUUGAAAAGGUUUGACAGGUCAGUCCCUUCCCACCCCUCUUGCUUGUCUUACUUGUCUUAUUUAUUCUCCAACAGCACUCCAGGCAGCCCUUGUCCACGGGCUCUCCUUGCAUCAGCCAAGCUUCUUGAAAGGCCUGUCUACACUUGCUGUCUUCCUUCCUCACCUCCAAUUUCCUCUUCAACCCACUGCUUCCUGACUCGCUCUACUCCGUGGAAGCACGCUCACAAAGGCACGUGGGCCGUGGCCCGGCUGGGUCGGCUGAAGAACUGCGGAUGGAAGCUGCGGAAGAGGCCCUGAUGGGGCCCACCAUCCCGGACCCAAGUCUUCUUCCUGGCGGGCCUCUCGUCUCCUUCCUGGUUUGGGCGGAAGCCAUCACCUGGAUGCCUACGUGGGAAGGGACCUCGAAUGUGGGACCCCAGCCCCUCUCCAGCUCGAAAUCGGCAGACUAGGAUGGAAGUGCCCUGUGAGCUGGGGGGCCCUUCAAAGGGCCAAGGAGAAAACGCAGGCCGAGGGACCAGCCUUCCAAAUGGGCUUCAAGCUCCAAUGACCUCCGCUCGCCCCCUCGAAAUGUCUGGAAAACAUAAUGGGCAGAUUUUCUGUCUUCAAAGUUUCCGGCUAAACCUCUUCAAGUUCUUUAUUGUUUGGGACUGAGACACUCAGCCAUGUUAAUGGGUAGUUUCUUUUGUAUUUGCCUUGAAAGGCCAAAAUAUUUUUAUAUUGCCACAGACAAAGCCACCUAUUUAAAAAUGAACUCCAUGUCCGUCGUUUCCCACCAGGAGACUAUGUACCAUGUGUGUGUCUCUAUGUAUUCUGGGGUCUUGAAACAGGUUUCUCAUGGGGAUGGUCAUUCACCACGGUCCAGAGGGGCAGAACAGGCGGCGCUUGCCUUGCCCAGGGGGCCUGGGGAACGUGGGCCCUCAUCUCAGAUCUGCCCCCAGUAUGUUUAGGACGCGAGCCCCAGAAGGAUCUGGGAGUAAACUUAACAUUCACUGUGUCUCUGCUCUGCAUCCGCCAUUUGUGUGUGUUUCUGGACUGUGGGCUGUGUGUACCUUGGUUGGUGACUCAGUGAGAAGAAGCAGGAAUGCCAAAGAUACUGUGAAUGUUCUGAGUUUUGUUGCUGUUGUUGUUGAGAGGUUGUUUCACUGGUAUCUAUUGCAUUGUAUAAUAAAUGACCAGAUGAAUGAAUGAGUGAAGCAAGAGAGAAUGAAUAAACAAGUAAAUAGGUAAAGAAGUAAGCAAGCCAGGAUGAGAGUGUGUGUACACAAGACCAUGGUUCAUCCGCUUUGAUGGCUAGGCAAUCAAUAUAUAAAUAGAAAAAAACCAGUGAAUCACUAAGUAAUAGGGCAACACACAAAGCGAUAUCAGGUGAUUAUGGACUAAGGGGUAUGUGUAACUCAAAUAUAUGCCUCUGACAUUUGACAAUGAAAAAGAACCUAAAUGAAAGAAAGAAUGGAUGUAUGAGUAGUGAAGUGCAGAAUGAGACAUAGAUUUUGAGGCCCGUCAAAAUGAAAAGAUGCAAGUUAGGGAACAAGUGAUCAAAAGGGAGAAGGGAAAGGUUUUUUUUAAAAAACCAAAACAACAAAGAAAGGUUAAAAAAAAAAACAGACUAGAGGAUGAGUAAUGAGUAACUCUGUAAGGAGGACCAUGUCAGACUAUUGUAAGCUAAGCAUUAGGACUGAUACAAAUAAUAUAUGCUCCUGGCAUAGAAAAAUAAACCACAGAGAACGAGUUCAAAGAAUAGCAAAGAAAGAAAGAGGACCCAGUGGGCGAAAGAUGAGAGUGUACUUUUACCAAAAGUUAUCUAAGCCUGAGCACUUGAAGUCUGCACAUAAAUAAAUAAAUGACAAAAGAAAGAAAAAAAGGCCAAAAAGUCUACAUUGCGUGUGUGGAUGGAUGAAUGAGCAGUGGGAGUGCAGCGCCAGGUGACAAGAUGUUGUGAGGGGUUUUGAGUCAUCCAGUCCUGGGCACUGAGGUCUGUUAGAUGAAAGGAUAUGAGAAAGGUAAUAUUGGUAAAUAAAGAAAUAGGAAACAAUGUAACAAAUGUUAAGUACAGAAAUACAUUAAUGGGUGGUAAAUAAAGAUGUAAAAGAAGGCAAUGCGAUCGAUGGUGGCAAAAGAUCAUCACAGAUUAAGGGCUAUGGCUGGUCCACUUCUAGAAAACCACAGGCUGUCCAUUAAAUAAUGAACAUCUAAGUGAACAAGUCAGUGAGUACCUAAAUAGACAAGGAUGAGGUGAAUGAGAAGACAUGGCCCCAUGGGUCCUCCUGAUGAGGGUGUUGGGGUCCCCCCUGGGCACCCCAGCUGCAUGAAAAUGAAGGACAGGAGGUAUGGAAAGCUAUGACAGAAGAGAGAAAGGAACGGUAAAAAGAAAUAACAACCAAAUGGAUAAAUGGGUAGAUCCACGAGAAGAGUUAGGCUAGGACUUGUCAUAAGGGCACCUGACUCCACUAAUAGAGGAAUAAAUGCCUAAUAAAAAGAGAGCAAGCAGGAAGGAAGGAUGCUAUGAAUGCAGGAAGGAAGUAAUGAGUGAGACGUGGAACCGCACGGCCAAGGAUGGACGUUUGCGGGUGGCUUUUUGAUGCGUACAGCCAAGCCACUCCAUGGCAAUGAGCUCCGAAGACAAAGUGCAAGAGAGAAUGAGUGAGAGAGUGAGAGAGAGAGAAACAAUAAAAAAUGGGAAGAAAUGUAAAAAGGAAGAAAGGAAGAGAGGUAAUAUAUUAAGGAAUAAAUACAUGCAUGCAGAUUUAAGACAGAGCCAUGCUAGAACAGGAAUGAAAGGCUGUGUGAACCAAGCAGACCGCUUAAUUGGCACCAGUGCUGCUGGUAUGGUCAAUCACCUACUCAACUAAGGAACGGCUCAAAGCAUACACAUGGGAGGGAGGAGUGGGGCCACAGAGAGAGGGCCCAUUAGUUGCAGAUUACGAUGUAUCCAGUUAGGUGCACCUGCCUUCGAGAAGUGUAAAAAUAAGUAUUUACAUAGAAAGAAAGACUGAAUGGAUGCACGGUGAAUGCAUGAAUGAUUGAACGACAGAAAAGAUUUGCAUUGACCGAUGAGGAGGGCAUUGUAGACAGGGAUGAGGGUCAUUGAUCCUGGGUGCAGAUCUCCAAAAGAAUGACAGAAAGAAAGAGGGAGUGGUGGAAAGAAACAAUAGGAUGGGAAAAAAUGAAAAUAGAAAAAAGGAAGUGAAAGAGAUAAUAAAUAAUUAGAUCAAAUAAGUUGAUGAAAGGGGACUGGUUUAGCACAAGCCAUCCACAUUAAUUCAAACCUGUGGCUCUGAAGUUUGUUUUUUAAAUGACCACAAGUGUAAGACUGAAUGAAAGAAUAAAUGCGUGCAUUCCAUAGGAUGCAAGAAAAGGAGUGAGGAAUGGGAAAAUUGGAAGAACGAGAGAGGGAGAGAUGUAAGAAAAGAAAGGAAAAGUGAAGUAGGCAUAUGAAAGAAAAGGCACUUCUUGGACAAGCACUGAAAUAUAAUGAGACAGUUUUACCCAUUAAAUAUAAUAAACAGUAAACGUUGAGGUUCAUCAAUAAAAGCACAGAUACCUGAAUAGAGGAGUGACCUGAAUAGAAUUCGUUCAGCCGAACGAAUGAGAAUGGAUGAUUUUCACUAUCCUGUGCACUCAAGGCCCAAAAGAGAAAGCAAGAGAGGAGAGAAUAUGGAAACGUAUGACAGGAUGUAUAUAAGCAAUACAAACAUAUUGAAUGAAUAAAUAAAGACAUAAAUAUGUGGGAGAGUGGACCACGCAAGGACAAAAAGAGGAGAGAAGGCAGCAAGAAUUAUGACUAAUUCAAAACUGGGUUCCUGAGAUAGUUAAAUAAAUCCUGCACCAAAUCCCCAGGGGGAGAAAUUAACAAACAAAAGACAGCCCCACACGGACCAGUGUGCAGAAGGCUCCAGGAACCGCAGAUUAUGGUUAAUCCAAUUCUGUGCACCUGAGGUCCAUAAAUAAAAGAAUAAGUAUUGAAAUGAAAGAAUGACAGAAAGAAUGAAUGGACACAUGAACGACUGAAUUAGAAAUGGAAAUGCCUGGCACAGCCAGGAAGGAGCUGCCCAUGGGAUUGUCAUUCAUCUCACUCUGGGCACCUGAGGUCCAUAAGCGUGAAAAGAGGCAGGAAGAGAAGUGUCAGGGAGUCAAAGAUAGAGCUAAGGAAAGGCAAAAAUGAAACUAAAUGAAAGCGAAAGGGAAAAUAAAGAAAAACCAAUAAAAAAGAGAACGAAUACGUGGGUGUAUCUGUAAGAGUAGGAUCUGUUAGGAUUAGUCAUAAGACUGUCAGUAAUCCUGAAGAUGGAUGAGAUAAUCCAGGCCCAGGUUCCCAGGGGGAGGGAAAAUGGAGAAAAUAUAAAAAGAUGUGAAAAAGGAAAAAGGAAAGGUAAUAAACAAACAACCAAAGUGAUAAAUGGAUAGUUAAGGGAGGUUGUCUGAACAGGGAUUAUAAUUAGUUUACAUACAUACUCCUUAAACAGAUAAAUACAUUACACCUUUCAAAGAAUAAAUGAAAAAUAGAGAGACAUACCUGGCUCCAAAACAAGGCUGUAUCUUCUGCCACUGUAAUAAAAUAGAUGCAAUUGAGGUUCAUAAAUAAAAGAAUAAAUACUUAAACGUGAAAGGUGACUAAAUGCGGGGAAGAAAGAUUGCAAAUAAAUACAUGGGCCAAAGAUGUUUGGUUUGCCCAUGGAGUUUUAAUUAAAAAAAUUAAUAAGGAAAACAAAUACCCAAAAUAAGGAAGACUGACAAAUGAGUGAGUGGAUGAGAGAGUGAAUGGUGCUUGACGUAGGAGCAGUAGUGCUUUAGGGACCAGCAUGAAGGUGGUGACCGGGAGCCCUGAUUCAUGGGAUUCUGUCCACCUGACUUUAUAAGAACCAAGAAUGGCUGGGAAUGGUGGCUCACGCCUGUAAUCCCAGCACUUUGGGAGGCCGAGGUGGGCGGAUCAUGAGGUCAGGAGUUUGAGACCAGCCAGUUUGAGAUCAGCCUGGCCAACAUGGUGAAAUUCCAUCUCUACUAAAAAAAUACAAAAAUUAUGGGCGUGGUGGCACCUGUCUGUAAUCCUAGCUACUCGGGAGGCUGAGAGAGGAGAAUUGCUUGAACCCGGGAGGUGGAGGUUGUAGUGAGCCAAGAUUGCACCACUGCACUCCAGCCUGGGCUACAGAGCAAGACACUAUCUUAGAUCAAAAAAGAAAAAAAAAAAAAGAAGGAGAAAGAACCAGAGAAACAUAAGGAAGAGUGAGAGGAAGAAAGAAAGAUGCAAUUUGGGAAGAAAUGAAAAAGAAAUGAAUAAAGAAUAAAAUAAUGUAACGGUCAAUAAAUAGGACUUGUGAAUGGAGGCCUUUAGGCCAAAGGCUAUGAUUAAUUUCAAGCUAUGUUACUGAAGUCCAUAAACAAAGGACUCAGAUCUAAAUGGAUGAACGAAUGACUGGAAGAAAGGGUGGUAGGAAGGUAGGAAGAAAGGAAGGAGGGAAAAAGGGAAGAGAGGAAGGAACCUUCUUUCCAGUCCUGUGUUCUAGACAGUGGAAUGAAGUGGUCCCCAGGGAGGGUGGCUGUAGGCAUGUCAUGUGCUUGUCACAUGCACUUGCCCUGGCAGGGAGGAGCUGGCUCAGGAAGACCCUGGUCUUGGGGUGCUGUUGCCCUAUCUUGGCUGUGUGGGCCAUUUCACUGCAUCUGUCUCUUCCUCAGUUUCCCCAUCUGUAAACCUGGAGUGGCACCAGCUGCCUACUAGAGUUGAUCUUAUGUGUCUCUGUUGAUGGUACCCCAUCUAUGGCCUGGAUAGGCAGGAAGGGCUUGGACCCUGAGCCCCGCAGAAGGUUGCAUGAACGAGUGGUGUGAAGCCUGUUGGGUAGCUUGGCCACUCCCGCGGCAUGGGUCACCUGCACAGGAGGUUUUGCCCACCAGGGGGCAGCAGAGGGUCAGGGAGCAAUAGGCCCUGGGUGGAGCAUGGGCCCCGCCUGCUGUGUGCCACCCUGGGUGUGGCACCUACUCACAUCCAGGGGUUGGUGCAGGGAAAGGCCAGAAGGUGGCCAGGCGCACCUGAGAAGGGGGACCCAGAAGCCCCGGGACCCAGGAGCCCUGGGCAAGCCACCAGAAACCUUGUUCUUGCAACUCUCUGCAGUGUGCCCAGGCCACCCUCUGGCCUGGUCUUCCAUGGGGCAGGGCGCCCACCCUUCUCAACUCAGGUUUCCCUGGGCAGCAGGUGCACCUCAGCACCCCUGGGGUUGCAGAAGUGGUCCGGGGACCCUGGCUUCCUUGACAUGCCAUCCCCAGAGCCUGGUUCAAGGCCUCUCUGUCUUCUCGGCUGUUUCACGACGUGUUUUGUAACUUGGCGGGAUUGCGUUUCGCUGUGUCGAGGUUGUCUCUUCUCUGACUCGCCCUCCGGGGGACUGCCGGGGUAAAUCUGGAGAGUUGCUCGUGCUGACAGUCCUCCCCCAGGGCCUCCCCGGUUCUGUUGAGUCUCCUUUCUCUGUAGUGGAGGAAAUGUGUGUAGUUUUGUGUUGUGUGCCUGUGUUUGUCUGUAAAAGCAAGGACCAAAGUCUCCCUUGUUGACCUCUCAAUUCCUAUUUGGGACAUAUAAAAACACUGGAUUCUUAACAAGCGCCCGGAGCAGUAGGAGCACAGCUUGGAUGGACUCAGGACUUGUGGCAGGGAGCACGUGGGAGGCAGGGGAGUGGGGUGGGGCCAGGCCAUCUGGAGUGGGAGGCGUCAUGCUCAGAGUGACUCUGUAGACGCUGGGUGGGAUGGGGAGUGCGGGCGCAGGCAUGGAUGGGGCUGUUAGCUAGUGUGAUGCUUGAGGUCUGAGCUGAUGGCAGCAAAGUGGGGUGCUCAGGAAUCAAAGCUAUGGGGUUAUAGACAGGAUAUGAAGGAGGGAGGGAGGCAAGAAGAAGGGGGUGGUUCCCACGCUUCUAGCUCCGGCCGAGUGGAUGGCAACAGCAUUUGGAAGGCGGAGGACAUGGAAUUCAUGUGUCAGGAGCCACCUUCCGAGCCUCCAGUACCACGUGUCAGGGCCACAUGAGCUGGGCCUCGUGGGCCUGAUGUGGUGCUGGGGCCUCAGGGGUCUGCUCUUCUUCUCUUUCAGAAUCUGGGGCUCCAGGCUAUGCCUUGGCUGGACUGAGGUCUGGGGGUGCACUUAUUAUCCCUGGGGACACCUGCUGAAGCUUCUCCCUGACAAGCUGUGUCACUGUUGGAUGAGGAUGGGGCGGGAGGGGUUCAGGGCAGAAGAAGACCGGGAGGGUCUUUCAAAAGAACUCAUGUACGGCUGUUAAAAAAAGUCAGCAGAGGCUCAGGAAGACUUAAAGUGUGCAGAAGGCGGGGAAGGGAGGGCCCAUUGCAUGCACCAAGAGGAAAUUGGAAGGAACAAGCGACGUUGGCUGCUAGGAGAGCCUGCUCCCAACAUCUAGGGGCUGUCCUGACGGGUCACAGUGGGUCGAACUGAGCCAAUGAGAGCAGCUCUGGGGAGACCCACUGGUGCCCUGGAGGCUGGGUGGGUUUGGGUUGGAUGAAUUCUGUGUGUCCUUUUGGAAAUGUGGAGGCCAUGAGGGGGGAUCAGGGCUCUUAGGGUUUUGACCCUUAAGAGUUUUGUAUCUGUAAUUCAAAGGUUCUUUAGUUCUGGGAUGCUGAGAUUCGGGAUAGGGUUCCUAAUGGCACAAAAGCCAGAGAUAAAACAUCCUUCACGUGCUCCCUACCCGGUUCUUUCUGUACCAGACCCACAAGGUCCGAGUUGGGAUCCUAGUGCUCCUGUCUGGUCAGGGCCUAUCUUUAUGUGUUCGUUAAACUUUUAACAAUGAGAAUUAAUUCUGUCUCUUGACAUUGUCAUUUGCAUGCUCCCCACACACAAAUCCUUUCCUGGUGACACCAGGAGCUACAACUCUCCUUGGCCUCCUCUUGUGACUCCCAACUCCCUCCUUGGGAAGCUUGGCCUCAGGACCUCUGGGAUAGACAGGCCACGAAUCCUGCUGUGUCCCGUUGUGUUCCUAAUAUAAAUGGUGUGGAUGGCACUUGACCUAGAGCAGUGGGAAAUGCAUGCACCACUCAACAUUCUGACAUGUCACCCAUUUUACAUUCUUACAGGCAUACUUUUUUUAAAAAAAGAGUGUCUAUUCUUUAAUGAGCAUCCCUUCUUUAAAAAAACCUAAUUGCCAUUAUUCACCACAUACACUUUUUUUUUUUUGUAUCCUGCCUCUUCUAUUUAAUUUUCUGUCAUCAACAUUUUCCCUUGUUCCAUGAAUCUUCAUAACCUCACUUGCUGCGUUGUGCCUUGUUGAGUGGCUAUGGCAUCAUUCACAGAACCAUUCUGUUAUUCUUAUGUAUAACCACCUUUUAAAAAUAUUAUGAAUAAUGCCACAACUAACUGCUUAAAACACCCUUUUUUUCAUUCUUAAGAAUUAUGUUCUUCCACCCAGAAAUUAUCAUUGCUUCACUACAGAUCAGUUUCCCCUGCUAGACUGUGAGCCCCAUAAGGGCAAGGAGCUUAUUGAAUUGGCCUUUGUAUCUCUGAUGCCCAACAUGUUGUAGACUAUAAAUAAAUGAUGAAUGAGUGGAUGGAAGAAUGGAGGAAGGAGCGAGUGAGUGAGUGUUUGGCUGAUGGAUAAGAGGGUGGAAGGAUAGGCGGAAGGAUGGAUUGGUGAAUGAAUGAAUGAAUUUCCUUUGGUUAAGUCUCUUGAAAGAAAGGCUAUGGAUCUUUGUAUGGAUGUUGAAUAAUUUCAGUAAGCUUACAGCAUUUUACAAUGUUCAGCAAUGUAUGACCACUUAAUUAAGAUAUGGCUAGUUUGUCUCUGUUAUAAAGUACUUUUGCAUUACUUUAACUUGCAUUGCUUUAAUUACUAAUGAUGGGUGAACACUUUGACCUAUGUUUGUUAACAAAUUGUAUUUUAUCUUCUGUGAAAAAAAAAAAAAA
This 9701-nucleotide long non-coding RNA is filed under the name Homo sapiens (human). Its description in RNAcentral is "maternally expressed 3, transcript variant 16 (MEG3)". The stretch from base 536 to 640 matches the Rfam family "Maternally expressed 3 conserved region 2". Lineage: Eukaryota; Metazoa; Chordata; Mammalia; Primates; Hominidae. The record is from RNAcentral.